This 301-nucleotide ribosomal RNA is filed under the name uncultured bacterium. RNAcentral's name for it is "partial 16S ribosomal RNA". It matches the Rfam family "Bacterial small subunit ribosomal RNA", at positions 509 to 809 of the family's 1533-position model. The record is from RNAcentral.
CAGUCGCCACGGUAAUACGUAGGGUGCAAGCGUUAAUCGGAAUUACUGGGCGUAAAGCGUGCGCAGGCGGUUCGCUAAGACAGAUGUGAAAUCCCCGGGCUUAACCUGGGAACUGCAUUUGUGACUGGCAAGCUAGAGUGUGGCAGAGGGGGGUGGAAUUCCGCGUGUAGCAGUGAAAUGCGUAGAUAUGCGGAGGAACACCGAUGGCGAAGGCAGCCCCCUGGGCCAACACUGACGCUCAUGCACGAAAGCGUGGGGAGCAAACAGGACUAGAUACCCGUGUAGUCCCUGUCUCUUAUAA